This 253-nucleotide ribosomal RNA is filed under the name uncultured bacterium. Its description in RNAcentral is "partial 16S ribosomal RNA". It matches the Rfam family "Bacterial small subunit ribosomal RNA", at positions 524 to 776 of the family's 1533-position model. The record is from RNAcentral.
UACGUAGGGGGCAAGCGUUGUCCGGAUUUACUGGGCGUAAAGGGCGUGCAGGCGGUCUGUUAAGUGCAGGGUGAAAGCUCCCGGCUCAACUGGGAGAGGUCCUUGCAUACUGGCGGACUUGAGGGGGGUAGAGGAAAGUGGAAUUCCCGGUGUAGUGGUGAAAUGCGCAGAUAUCAGGAGGAACACCGGUGGCGAAGGCGGGUCUCUGGGCCGAUACUGACGCUGAGGAGCGAAAGCGUGGGGAGCGAACAGG